UACGGAGGGUGCAAGCGUUAUCCGGAUUCACUGGGUUUAAAGGGUGCGCAGGUGGGUCUGUAAGUCAGUGGUGAAAUCUCCGAGCUUAACUCGGAAACUGCCAUUGAUACUAUAGGUCUUGAAUUAUCUGGAGGUGAGCGGAAUAUGUCAUGUAGCGGUGAAAUGCUUAGAUAUGACAUAGAACACCAAUUGCGAAGGCAGCUCACUACGGAUAUAUUGACACUGAGGCACGAAAGCGUGGGGAUCAAACAGG
RNAcentral lists this ribosomal RNA (253 nucleotides) under uncultured bacterium. RNAcentral describes it as "partial 16S ribosomal RNA". It matches the Rfam family "Bacterial small subunit ribosomal RNA", at positions 524 to 776 of the family's 1533-position model. The record is from RNAcentral.